Molecule: ribosomal RNA, 444 nt
Filed under: Triticum aestivum (bread wheat)
Lineage: Eukaryota; Viridiplantae; Streptophyta; Magnoliopsida; Poales; Poaceae
Description: partial small subunit ribosomal RNA
Source: RNAcentral
AUGGCGUCCAGGACCUUCUCGGCGGCAUGCCUGCUGGCGCUGCUGGUGGCCAACACGUUCCUCGCCGGCGACGCGUGCGGCAGCUGCAAGCACAAAACCCCGCCGCCGGCCUCCCCGUCCCCGCCCCCACCAUCGCCGUCUACGACGCCGUGCCCACCGCCUUCGUCAGGCGGCGGCACGUCGUGCCCCACGGACACACUGAAGCUGGGCGCCUGCGCCAACGUGCUGGGCUUGGUGAACGUGGGCGUCGGCAAGCCCCCCAGCGGCGGCGGCGACAAGUGCUGCAGCCUCCUCGGCGGCCUGGCCGACCUCGAGGCCGCCGUGUGCCUCUGCACCGCGCUCAAGGCCAACGUCCUCGGCAUCGUCCUCAACAUCCCCGUCAAGCUCAGCCUCCUCCUCAACUACUGCGGCAAGACCGCCCCCAAGGGCUUCCAGUGCGCUUAA